Molecule: transfer RNA, 87 nt
Filed under: Hathewaya histolytica
Lineage: Bacteria; Bacillati; Bacillota; Clostridia; Eubacteriales; Clostridiaceae
Description: tRNA-Leu(gag)
Rfam family: tRNA
About the family: Transfer RNA (tRNA) molecules are approximately 80 nucleotides in length. Their secondary structure includes four short double-helical elements and three loops (D, anti-codon, and T loops).
Source: RNAcentral
GCAGAUGUGGCGGAAUCGGCAGACGCGCUAUCUUGAGGGGGUAGUGAAGGUAUCUUCGUAUGGGUUCAAGUCCCAUCAUCUGCACCA